AUACGUAGGGUGCGAGCGUUGUCCGGAAUUACUGGGCGUAAAGAGCUCGUAGGUGGUUUGUCGCGUCGUCUGUGAAAUCCCGGGGCUUAACCUCGGGCGUGCAGGCGAUACGGGCAUAACUUGAGUGCUGUAGGGGAGACUGGAAUUCCUGGUAUAGCGGUGAAAUGCGCAGAUAUCAGGAGGAACACCAAUGGCGAAGGCAGGUCUCUGGGCAGUAACUGACGCUGAGGAGCGAAAGCAUGGGUAGC
This 248-nucleotide ribosomal RNA is filed under the name uncultured bacterium. Its description in RNAcentral is "partial 16S ribosomal RNA". It matches the Rfam family "Bacterial small subunit ribosomal RNA", at positions 523 to 769 of the family's 1533-position model. The record is from RNAcentral.